CGGCGAGUGAAGCGGCAACAGCUCAAAUUUGAAAUCUGGCCUCCCUUGGGGGUCCGAGUUGUAAUUUGCAGAGGGUGCUUUGGCGUCGGCAGCGGUCUAAGUUCCUUGGAACAGGACAUCACAGAGGGUGAGAAUCCCGUACGUGGUCGCCUGCCUUCGCCGUGUAAAGCCCCUUCGACGAGUCGAGUUGUUUGGGAAUGCAGCUCUAAAUGGGAGGUAAAUUUCUUCUAAAGCUAAAUACCGGCCAGAGACCGAUAGCGCACAAGUAGAGUGAUCGAAAGAUGAAAAGCACUUUGGAAAGAGAGUCAAACAGCACGUGAAAUUGUUGAAAGGGAAGCGCUUGCAGCCAGACUUGCUCGUAGUUGCUCAUCCGGGUCCGCCCGGAGCACUCUUCUGCGAGCAGGCCAGCAUCAGUUUGGGCGACCGGAUAAAGGCCUCUGUCAUGUACCUUCCCUCGGGAAGGCCUUAUAGGGGAGGCGUAAUGCGGCCAGCCCGGACUGAGGUCCGCGCAUCUGCUAGGAUGCUGGCGUAAUGGCUGUAAGCGGCCCGUCUUGAAACACGGACCAAGGAGUCUAACAUCUAUGCGAGUGUUUGGGUGUCAAGCCCGGGCGCGUAAUGAAAGUGAACGGAGGUGGGAACCCUCUCCGGGGGGUGCACCAUCGACCGAUCCUGAUGUCUUCGGAUGGAUUUGAGUAAGAGCAUAGCUGUUGGGACCCGAAAGAUGGUGAACUAUGCUUGAAUAGGGUGAAGCCAGAGGAAACUCUGGUGGAGGCUCGCAGCGGUUCUGACGUGCAAAUCGAUCGUCAAAUUUGGGCAUAGGGGCGAAA
This 827-nucleotide ribosomal RNA is filed under the name Lentithecium lineare. RNAcentral describes it as "partial large subunit ribosomal RNA". It matches the Rfam family "Eukaryotic large subunit ribosomal RNA", at positions 87 to 928 of the family's 3401-position model. Lineage: Eukaryota; Fungi; Ascomycota; Dothideomycetes; Pleosporales; Lentitheciaceae. The record is from RNAcentral.